This 433-nucleotide ribosomal RNA is filed under the name uncultured bacterium. RNAcentral's name for it is "partial 16S ribosomal RNA". It matches the Rfam family "Bacterial small subunit ribosomal RNA", at positions 29 to 507 of the family's 1533-position model. The record is from RNAcentral.
AACGAACGCUGGCGGCAGGCCUAACACAUGCAAGUCGAGCGAGCAUUUCGGUGCUAGCGGCGGACGGGUGAGUAACGCGUGGGAACGUGCCCUUUUCUGCGGAAUAGUCCUGGGAAACUGGGGGUAAUACCGCAUACGCCCUUUUGGGGAAAGAUUUAUCGGAGAAGGAUCGGCCCGCGUUGGAUUAGGUAGUUGGUGGGGUAAUGGCCCACCAAGCCGACGAUCCAUAGCUGGUUUGAGAGGAUGAUCAGCCACACUGGGACUGAGACACGGCCCAGACUCCUACGGGAGGCAGCAGUGGGGAAUCUUAGACAAUGGGGGCAACCCUGAUCGAGCCAUGCCGCGUGAGUGAUGAAGGCCUUAGGGUUGUAAAGCUCUUUCAGCUGGGAAGAUAAUGACGGUACCAGAAGAAGAAGCCCCGGCUAACUCCGUG